This 726-nucleotide unclassified non-coding RNA is filed under the name Macrogyrodactylus simentiensis. RNAcentral describes it as "sequence contains ITS1, 5.8S rRNA gene and ITS2". The stretch from base 421 to 573 matches the Rfam family "5.8S ribosomal RNA". Lineage: Eukaryota; Metazoa; Platyhelminthes; Monogenea; Gyrodactylidea; Gyrodactylidae. The record is from RNAcentral.
UUUUUCAUGACCAAUUGUCUUAUAGUACAUAGUUAGUCUUAAUCAGUUCUAGUCGAUAGCAAAGACUAGUUCUGCCAAAUAACUCCAUAUAAAACUAUGUAAAUCGACUAUUUUUAGUCAAACGUACUAAGACUUGCGACCUUAGUACGAUAUAAUCAAUACUAUAUGCUUUGAUUAUUUAUGAUUUUUCAGAUGUCUGGUUACCUUCCAAGUUAUAAUUGUAACAGCUAGCUUGGUACGGUCUGGUAAUCGGACGGCUUCGGCCAAGUCUGUUAAGUCAAGUGUUGUUACUACUUUGUUGUAAUGUAUAUCCACAGUGGUGUCUUAGAGCACUACACUCUAUGCCUGUUGGGUUUAUGUAAAAAUUUAUCCUGACUACGCAUAGGUAAGCGCCUUAGCGGAAGAAGCUUACAUUUGUACAACUUCAUGUGGUGGAUCACUCGGCUCACGUAUCGAUGAAGAGUGCAGCAAACUGUGUUAACCAAUGUGAAACGCAGACUGCUUCGAUCAUCGGUCUCUCGAACGCAUAUUGCGGCUUUGGGCUUGCCCUUAGCUACUCUCGAUCGAGUGUCGGCUUUUACCUAUCACGGCGCUUAAUUAGCCGUGGAUUGGGGAGCAUACCGUGGCUACAUGUUUUCAAUUCUAGCAUUCACGAAUUAAACGGAUUGCUAGUUUAGAGGUAGCUCUAGUGGUUCUCCCUUAAUUACAUGAGCAUUGCUAUAACUU